CAUCCGAAACGGGUCAGAAAGUAAAUCUUGGAUCAGAUUACGGCAUCACAUCCAAUCAUGCAUGUUUUAUAGUAUUUGUUUAAAACACAAGUGCUUGGGUUAGCUAGGCAGCGUCGAUCUUAAAGUGCUAGUAGCUCUUGGGUCGGGUGUUGCAAUCCAUUGAAUGUCUUAAUUAAGUGGCUUAUUAUUCUUUAUUCGUUCUAUAAUCGUCUGCACGCCCAGCAACCUGUUAGCAUUUGAAUAUCUGCUGUCUGUGUGCAUAGUGCUGCGCGUUCUUUUCUUCUUUUCUUUGUAAACAAGUUAUAUUCAUAUAUUCACUGUUGUGGAAUUAACUAACCACACACAAUCAAUCACACCAUGCAGCAGCGCACCCGGGGACUUUAUUUGGCAUACAAUCCAAUAAUUUCCUCGAGGAGGAGUGCUUGCUAUUAACGUCAUUAAUUGUGGCUCUCAUUGAUGGUCUCCUCCUCAAUAAUAUAUGAAUAUCCCAAGAACCAAAAACAAUAAUGAAUACUUCUUCUUGUGUAUUGGCCAUACACAAGUAGUUUCUUCCCUGUCGUCGGACCAACGAUUGGUCCCUUCAAACUCAAAAUCUUCUUGGUUGGAACCUCGAGAACGUACGUGGGUCUUUUCAAUUCCCAUGAUUUCUGCUCCUCAGUCCUCACCAUAUGGACUUGAAAUGGUAUAUGCAGUGCAGUCAUACGGAAGUGAUCAGUGACAAGCAAGUUUCAAAUCAAUUAAAGGGAUCAAUGACUGUAGAGCGUUUUGUUUUGUUAGGAAGCAUAAGGAAAUCGAAAUACAGCUAAAACUCUUUCAAUCCGGCUCGGGGGAGCACUUUAGUUUUGAACAUUCAGCUGGUACAAACCAAAACGAUCGAGAUACAUUCACUGGCUCGGGGGAACUGCAGGAGGAGAGAUAAAAAAAGGUUGGAUGCGUCUGAAACGCAAUCAAUAAUGGUGUACAGUGUUCGUGCUUUAGCUACCACCAUUCUCCACUAAGUCUUUGGAUGCUAGCUUACACACAGCAACAUGAACGGACAGGGGGGACUUCCUCCUUUUGAUUCAUUCAACAGCGGAAUCACAUGCCGCCUAUCGUCGUUGAGGUAAGAUUACAUGUACUUAUUAUAUACCUCCGCCCAAAAACACAAAAAGGAAAGUUCCGAAAAAAAAAAAAAUAAAUAAAUACACACCACCACCACUAGUAGUAGUACUUCUGAUGCAGCACUAGCAGUCAUUUGAUCCAGACGGCCAUAAUUUUUGGUUGUUUCCAGGCUGGGGCUGCAAAAGAUUCAUGCAUACCCGCGCGCGAGCGUUGGUGAGUUGACUUUAUUGAUCAUGUUUUGAUUAAUUUGAUGAGUUAAAUAUACGAAUACUCAGUUCAUUCGUAUCCGUAGGCACCACUUGUUUACUGACCCGAUGAGAAGAAGAGAUGCAACUCAUAUGUGUUUUUUGGUGUCACGCCAUGCAUCCGGCGGCUCAUCUUCGAACAAACGCCGGUUGGUUGACCGGUGAGACGUAGACCACACUCUCCAUCCCUGUGAGUGAAAAGGCUAGCAAGCACUACUACCGACAGCUAUUAAUUGUAUCGGUAUUCAUAAUUAUUUGUUGUGUUGUGACCUGUGACUUGUGAGAGCAGAGGGGAGAGUGGGUGUUUUGUUUUGGGGGCUAUGGAUUUAUUCUUGGGUUC
Non-coding RNA from Coffea arabica (coffee), 1686 nucleotides. The record is from RefSeq and is a predicted model, not a curated record. NCBI's taxonomy places the organism in Eukaryota, Viridiplantae, Streptophyta, Magnoliopsida, Gentianales, Rubiaceae.